GUACUGAUGAAGAGUCCCAAACUAGGACGAAACUGUUGUCCAAUAC
Non-coding RNA from Trichobilharzia regenti, 46 nucleotides. Lineage: Eukaryota; Metazoa; Platyhelminthes; Trematoda; Strigeidida; Schistosomatidae. The record is from Rfam.